AGUGAGCGCUGGCGGUAGGCCUAACACAUGCAAGUCGAACGGCAGCACAGUAAGAGCUUGCUCUUACGGGUGGCGAGUGGCGGACGGGUGAGGAAUACAUCGGAAUCUACUUUUUCGUGGGGGAUAACGUAGGGAAACUUACGCUAAUACCGCAUACGACCUACGGGUGAAAGCAGGGGAUCUUCGGACCUUGCGCGAUUGAAUGAGCCGAUGUCGGAUUAGCUAGUUGGCGGGGUAGAGGCCCACCAAGGCGACGAUCCGUAGCUGGUCUGAGAGGAUGAUCAGCCACACUGGAACUGAGACACGGUCCAGACUCCUACGGGAGGCAGCAGUGGGGAAUAUUGGACAAUGGGCGCAAGCCUGAUCCAGCCAUACCGCGUGGGUGAAGAAGGCCUUCGGGUUGUAAAGCCCUUUUGUUGGGAAAGAAAAGCAGCAGGUUAAUACCCCGCUGUUCUGACGGUACCCAAAGAAUAAGCACCGGCUAACUUCGUG
This 492-nucleotide ribosomal RNA is filed under the name uncultured bacterium. Its description in RNAcentral is "partial 16S ribosomal RNA". It matches the Rfam family "Bacterial small subunit ribosomal RNA", at positions 29 to 507 of the family's 1533-position model. The record is from RNAcentral.